UACGUAGGGUGCAAGCGUUGUCCGGAAUUAUUGGGCGUAAAGAGCUCGUAGGCGGUUUGUCGCGUCUGCUGUGAAAACUCGGGGCUUAACCCCGGGCCUGCAGUGGGUACGGGCAGACUAGAGUGCGGUAGGGGAGACUGGAAUUCCUGGUGUAGCGGUGAAAUGCGCAGAUAUCAGGAGGAACACCGGUGGCGAAGGCGGCAUCCUGGACCGAUACUGACGCUGAGGAGCGAAAGCCAGGGGAGCAAACGGG
Molecule: ribosomal RNA, 253 nt
Filed under: uncultured bacterium
Lineage: Bacteria
Description: partial 16S ribosomal RNA
Rfam family: Bacterial small subunit ribosomal RNA
Source: RNAcentral